Molecule: long non-coding RNA, 553 nt
Organism: Lingula anatina
Lineage: Eukaryota; Metazoa; Brachiopoda; Lingulata; Lingulida; Lingulidae
Source: RefSeq, a predicted model, not a curated record
CAGACUAUCUGCGCGUGCGCACGGCCAGGCGGUUAAAAAUGCGCGGGGACUGCUAGGCUGUGUAGGCCGGUCACAGAAGAUUUUUUAAGCCUCCGUAUUGAUUAUGGUCGACUUCUUUGCAAGAUGGCGUUUGUUGCGGCGAUAAUAUAACUGAUGAGGAUGAAGAGAAGGUGUAAAUGCAUCAGAUGCUAUUAAAAGACAGGCUUUCUACAUGGUUGAAUAGCAUAUAAAAGCAAACAAAGUGGAUGGACUAAAGCAAAAUAAUUGGAAGAGAAGAAUGGGGUGCCAUUAAAAGAUACUACAGAUCUGAAAAGAAGGAGGAUGUUCUAAAACAAGCAAAAGGACUGGAUGAGCUUAAACAAAAAAUAUGGAAAAAAAAAGGAAGAGGAGGCAAAAGGGAAAGAUUUGGGCAGGCAAAGUGUUCACUUGACAGGCGCUUCCAGAAAAACUACUCCCACGAGAACGAGAAGUUACGCAUAUAUAGUAGGACUAGUGGAUCUGGCUGAAAGUACAUUUAGAGAACAUUUCCUGGGCCUUUCUUGGAUUAUCAAAA